This 552-nucleotide ribosomal RNA is filed under the name Triticum aestivum (bread wheat). RNAcentral describes it as "partial small subunit ribosomal RNA". The record is from RNAcentral. Lineage: Eukaryota; Viridiplantae; Streptophyta; Magnoliopsida; Poales; Poaceae.
AUGGCGAAAGACUCUUCUUGGGCGUACCUGCCAGAUGAUCUCCUGCUCCUGGUCCUCCGCCGCCUCACGUCCCUCGCGGACCGCGUCCGAGCAGGCGCCAUCUGCAGACCAUGGCGCUCCGCCGCCAGCCAGCUCCCGCCGAGGCGGCUCCCGUGGGUCAUGUUCGGCAACGGCACCCUCUUCGACCUGGCCAACGACAGCGCGCCGCACCCGCACCACCGCCUGCGUCUCCCCGACGAUUGCUGGCGCUCCAGCGCCGGCGAGAACAUGUUGUUCCUCGUGCACCAGCGCGACGGUAGCUGCUCCCUCUUGAACGCUCUCUCCGGCGCCACCACCCGUCUCCCCGAGCUAGCCGGCCUCCUGCGGACUUACGACGUCCGGCAUCGUCGACUGCGGAACGAGCUCAGCUGCAGCCCCCACAACCACAAUGAGCUCAGGCGCAUCCUCCGCUCCUGGCGGGGCCAAACCGAGCCCCCCAUGAAAGCUAUAGAGAAGGCGUGGUGGUGUCCUCCUCGGCGUUGGACGAUGAGCCCAUCGUUGUCGCCGUCCUGA